Molecule: ribosomal RNA, 253 nt
Filed under: uncultured bacterium
Lineage: Bacteria
Description: partial 16S ribosomal RNA
Rfam family: Bacterial small subunit ribosomal RNA
Source: RNAcentral
UACGGGGGGGGUAAGCGUUGUUCGGAAUUACUGGGCGUAAAGGGCUCGUAGGCGGCCAACUAAGUCAGACGUGAAAUCCCUCAGCUUAACUGGGGAACUGCGUCUGAUACUGGAUGGCUUGGAUUCGGGAGAGGAAUGCGGAAUUCCAGGUGUAGCGGUGAAAUGCGUAGAUAUCUGGAGGAACACCGGUGGCGAAGGCGGCAUCCUGGACCGGUAUUGACACUGAGGCGCGAAAGCCAGGGGAGCAAACGGG